AAGUCAUAACAAGGUUUCCGUAGGUGAACCUGCGGAAGGAUCAUUAAUAGUGCUCUUUAUUGAGUUGAUCUGCUCUCUUCGCAAGAAGAGGGUUUCCAUACACACCGUGAACUGUGGCUUCGGCCAUCACAAACUGUUAGUAAUGAAUGUAAUAUCAUAACAAAAACAAAACUUUUAACAACGGAUCUCUUGGCUCUC
Molecule: unclassified non-coding RNA, 198 nt
Filed under: air metagenome
Description: partial contains small subunit ribosomal RNA, internal transcribed spacer 1, and 5.8S ribosomal RNA
Rfam family: Eukaryotic small subunit ribosomal RNA (bases 1-46)
Source: RNAcentral